CCAGCAGCCGCGGUAAUACGUAGGGGGCGAGCGUUGUCCGGAAUUAUUGGGCGUAAAGGGUUCGCAGGCGGUCUGAUAAGUCAGAUGUGAAAGGCGUAGGCUCAACCUACGUAAGCAUUUGAAACUGUCAGACUUGAGUUAAGGAGAGGAAAGUGGAAUUCCUAGUGUAGCGGUGAAAUGCGUAGAUAUUAGGAGGAAUACCAGUGGCGAAGGCGACUUUCUGGACUGUAACUGACACUGAGGCAUGAAAGCGUGGGUAGCAAACAGGAUUAGAUACCCUGGUAGUCCACGCCGUAAACGAUGGGUACUAGGUGUAGGAGGUAUCGACCCCUUCUGUGCCGUCGUUAACACAAUAAGUACCCCGCCUGGGGAGUACGGUCGCAAGACUAAAAAUCAAAGGAAUUGACGGGGGCCCGCACAAGCAGCGGAGCAUGUGGUUUAAUUCGAAGCAACGCGAAGAACCUUACCUAGACUUGACAUCUCCUGAAUUACCCUUAACCGGGGAAGCCCCUUCGGGGCAAGAAGACAGGUGGUGCAUGGUUGUCGUCAGCUCCGUGUCGUGAGAUGUUGGGUUAAGUCCCGCAACGAGCGCAACCCUUAUUUUUAGUUGCUACCAUUUGGUUGAGCACUCUAAAGAGACUGCCCGGGUUAACCGGGAGGAAAGUGGGGAUGACGUCAAAUCAUCAUGCCCCUUAUGUCUAGGG
RNAcentral lists this ribosomal RNA (704 nucleotides) under bacterium B3C1-8. RNAcentral describes it as "bacterial SSU rRNA". It matches the Rfam family "Bacterial small subunit ribosomal RNA", at positions 508 to 1213 of the family's 1533-position model. The record is from RNAcentral.